This 333-nucleotide ribosomal RNA is filed under the name Triticum aestivum (bread wheat). RNAcentral's name for it is "partial small subunit ribosomal RNA". Lineage: Eukaryota; Viridiplantae; Streptophyta; Magnoliopsida; Poales; Poaceae. The record is from RNAcentral.
AUGUUGGUGCUGUUUGAGACGCCCACUGGGUUCGCCGUUUUCAAGGUUCUGAACAAGGGCAAGCUCGACAAGAUCAAGGAAUCUAUGGAAGGAGUUCACCACAUCGGACUCGGUGAGAAAGUCAAUUAUCCAUUUCGUUCAGCAUGGUGGCCAAGAUGCAGCAGCCCCAUGCUUUGUUCCGAUGGGCCUCCUCUACUCGAUGGUUGCCGCUGGUUGAGUUUGGUAUGGUUUCCUAUUGUUGCUUGUGUCGAGCCAUGGGUCCGUCUUUCCUUCGUAUUGAGUCUACUUCUCCUGUCGCUGGUGCUUCUUCUUCUCGUCCGUCCUGCUACUUAA